This 253-nucleotide ribosomal RNA is filed under the name uncultured bacterium. RNAcentral describes it as "partial 16S ribosomal RNA". It matches the Rfam family "Bacterial small subunit ribosomal RNA", at positions 524 to 776 of the family's 1533-position model. The record is from RNAcentral.
GACAGAGGGUGCAAACGUUGUUCGGAAUUACUGGGCGUAAAGCGCGUGUAGGCGGCUAUGCAAGUCGGAUGUGAAAGCCCUCGGCUCAACCGGGGAAGUGCACCCGAAACUGCAAAGCUAGAGUCUCGGAGAGGAUCGUGGAAUUCUCGGUGUAGAGGUGAAAUUCGUAGAUAUCGAGAGGAAGACCAGUGGCGAAGGCGGGUCUCUGGACAGUUCCUGACACUGAGACACGAAGGCCAGGGGAGCAAACGGG